Molecule: ribosomal RNA, 492 nt
Filed under: uncultured bacterium
Lineage: Bacteria
Description: partial 16S ribosomal RNA
Rfam family: Bacterial small subunit ribosomal RNA
Source: RNAcentral
AGUGAACGCUGGCGGUGGGCCUAACACAUGCAAGUCGAACCGCAGCACAGUAAGAGCUUGCUCUUACGGGUGGCGAGUGGCGGACGGGUGAGGAAUACAUCGGAAUCUACUUUUUCGUGGGGGAUAACGUAGGGAAACUUACGCUAAUACCGCAUACGACCUACGGGUGAAAGCAGGGGAUCUUCGGACCUUGCGCGAUUGAAUGAGCCGAUGUCGGAUUAGCUAGUUGGCGGGGUAAAGGCCCACCAAGGCGACGAUCCGUAGCUGGUCUGAGAGGAUGAUCAGCCACACUGGAACUGAGACACGGUCCAGACUCCUACGGGAGGCAGCAGUGGGGAAUAUUGGACAAUGGGCGCAAGCCUGAUCCAGCCAUACCGCGUGGGUGAAGAAGGCCUUCGGGUUGUAAAGCCCUUUUGUUGGGAAAGAAAAGCAGCAGGUUAAUACCCCGCUGUUCUGACGGUACCCAAAGAAUAAGCACCGGCUAACUUCGUG